CCUACGGGUGGCAGCAGUGGGGAAUAUUGCACAAUGGGGGAAACCCUGAUGCAGCGACGCCGCGUGAGUGAAGAAGGAUUUCGGUAUGUAAAGCUCUAUUAGCAGGGACGAGACAAGACGGUACCUGACUAAGAAGCCCCGACGAACUACGUGCCAGCAGCUGCGUUAAUACGUAGGGGGCAAGCGUUAUCCGGAAUCCCGGGGUGUAAGGGGAGCGUAGACGGCUGAGCAGGCCUGAGGUGAAAGGCGAGGGCCCAACCCCUGAACUGCUUUGGAAACUGUAAGGUUGGAGUGCAGGAGAGGUAGGUGGAAUGCGUGGUGUAGCGGUGAAAUGCGUAGAUAUUAAGAGGAACACCGAUGGCGAAGGCGGCUUACUAGACCGUAACUGACGUUGAGGCUCGAAAGCGUGGGGAGCAAACAGGAUUAGAUACCCGUGUAGUC
Molecule: ribosomal RNA, 441 nt
Filed under: uncultured bacterium
Lineage: Bacteria
Description: partial 16S ribosomal RNA
Rfam family: Bacterial small subunit ribosomal RNA
Source: RNAcentral